This 376-nucleotide long non-coding RNA is filed under the name Capra hircus (goat). Its description in RNAcentral is "lncRNA (ENSCHIG00000001792.1)". The record is from RNAcentral. Lineage: Eukaryota; Metazoa; Chordata; Mammalia; Artiodactyla; Bovidae.
CUGCAGAGAAGCCAAGAUAGUGCAUUUCUAACAAACUUCAAAUGGCUUACAUACUGCUAGUCCUGAGACCAUAUUUUGAGUAGUGAAGAGCUAGAGUCCUAAGACCAUAAGGUCACUGAAGACUGGACUGCUGGCUUUUUCCUGGAGCUCUGAGUUCUGCUGGAUGGCACUAAGUAUUUGUGUUGGAAAGGUUGAGGAGCAAAACCCUAGGGCACAAAGAAGAGACACAUGAAGAGAAGAUUCAGCAAUUCCAGUUCUUUUCCAGGCCAAGAGGAAAGUCAGCAAGGAUGCCUGAUACUUUUGAGGUAAAUCUUCUGAGCAGAUGAGAUUAAGAAAAGUGAAUUAGGAUGUUUUGGAAAACUAAGAUCAUCUCAGC